UUCUGUCCUAUCCUUAGGUGCUCCAAGUCAGAAGGAUGAAAAUUCCAAACAGGUGAAUCCAACUUCUCCUGUAUAUGAAAACACACUCCUUUCUGAACAGGCCAUGCCGAAGAGUUCUUCAGAGAUCAACAACACGUACGAGGAGUUGAGACACGGAAACCAGGCUGUGUAUGAUCAGCUGAAAUGGUCACCGAAGGGACCCUCCAACUCGAGUGGAAGUCGACACACCAGUCCAG
Sphaerodactylus townsendi is the source of this 236-nucleotide long non-coding RNA. RefSeq lists it as uncharacterized. The record is from RefSeq and is a predicted model, not a curated record. NCBI's taxonomy places the organism in Eukaryota, Metazoa, Chordata, Lepidosauria, Squamata, Sphaerodactylidae. The transcript has 3 exons.